This is a non-coding RNA of Onychostoma macrolepis, 81 nucleotides long. The record is from the annotation of a RefSeq genome assembly. NCBI's taxonomy places the organism in Eukaryota, Metazoa, Chordata, Actinopteri, Cypriniformes, Cyprinidae.
GUAGUCGUGGCCAGUGGUUAAGGCGAUGGACUUGAAAUCCAUUGGGGUCUCCCAGCGCAGGUUCGAAUCCUGCCGACUACG